UGAUUGUCUCCUUGAAACCUUCUUCUCGUUCUUGUCGCCGUUAGCAAUCCAAGUAUUAAUUUCUGAUCCUCCCCUUGCCGACGAAUCUGGUAAGAUAAGGCGAGAUCUGGGAAUUUCCUCAAACUCUGUGGAUUCUGCUUCGUCCGUCUAGUGUUUUUAAAAGAAACAAGAGACCAGUGUUGUCUCUAUUCUCAGUGGAGAAGUUAAUGGUGACACGCUAGGGAGUGCACCAUGUUGUCCUCCUCUGUUAUACUUAUAAGUAACAUGUUGUUUUUACACUUUUUUUCACCCCUCCCCCAAUGUAACAUUGGAACUCGUAUAUAACACUUUCGCCGCAUUUAAUGC
This 345-nucleotide unclassified non-coding RNA is filed under the name Arabidopsis thaliana (thale cress). Lineage: Eukaryota; Viridiplantae; Streptophyta; Magnoliopsida; Brassicales; Brassicaceae. The record is from RNAcentral.